UGGAGCAUGUGGUUAAUUCGAAGCAACGCGGAGAACCUUACCAGGGCUUGACAUCCCUUGAAGCAGCUAGAGAUAGCUGUGUCCUUCGGGACAAGGAGACAGGUGGUGCAUGGUUGUCGUCAGCUCGUGUCGUGAGAUGUUGGGUUAAGUCCCGCAACGAGCGCAACCCCUGUGGUUAGUUGCCAGCAAGUAGCGUUGGGCACUCUAGCCAGACUGCCGGUAAUAAACCGGAGGAAGGUGGGAUGACGUCAAAUCAUCAUGCCCCUUAUGACCUGGGCUACACACGUGCUACAAUGGUUGGUACAACGAGUUGCGAGUCGGUGACGGCGAGCUAAUCUCUUAAAGCCAAUCUCAGUUCGGAUUGUAGGCUGCAACUCGCCUACAUGAAGUCGGAAUCGCUAGUAAUCGCGGAUCAGCACGCCGCGGUGAAUACGUUCCCGGGCCUU
This 446-nucleotide ribosomal RNA is filed under the name uncultured Streptococcus sp. RNAcentral's name for it is "bacterial SSU rRNA". It matches the Rfam family "Bacterial small subunit ribosomal RNA", at positions 933 to 1382 of the family's 1533-position model. The record is from RNAcentral. Lineage: Bacteria; Bacillati; Bacillota; Bacilli; Lactobacillales; Streptococcaceae.